Molecule: ribosomal RNA, 253 nt
Filed under: uncultured bacterium
Lineage: Bacteria
Description: partial 16S ribosomal RNA
Rfam family: Bacterial small subunit ribosomal RNA
Source: RNAcentral
UACAGAGGUCCCAAGCGUUGUUCGGAUUCACUGGGCGUAAAGGGUGCGUAGGCGGUCGGGUAAGUCUGACGUGAAAUCUCCAAGCUCAACUUGGAAAUGGCGUCGGAUACUAUUCGGCUCGAGGAAUGGAGGGGAGACUGGAAUUCUCGGUGUAGCAGUGAAAUGCGUAGAUAUCGAGAGGAACACCAGUGGCGAAGGCGAGUCUCUGGACAUUUCCUGACGCUGAGGCACGAAAGCCAGGGGAGCAAACGGG